UGGGGAAUAUUGCACAAUGGGGGAAACCCUGAUGCAGCGAUGCCGCGUGGAGGAAGAAGGUUUUCGGAUUGUAAACUCCUGUCUUAAAGGACGAUAAUGACGGUACUUUAGGAGGAAGCUCCGGCUAACUACGUGCCAGCAGCCGCGGUAAUACGUAGGGAGCGAGCGUUGUCCGGAAUUACUGGGUGUAAAGGGAGCGUAGGCGGGAUUGCAAGUCAGAUGUGAAAUACGUGGGCUUAACCUACGGGCUGCAUUUGAAACUGUAGUUCUUGAGUGAAGUAGAGGCAAGCGGAAUUCCUGGUGUAGCGGUGAAAUGCGUAGAUAUCAGGAGGAACACCGGUGGCGAAGGCGGCUUGCUGGGCUUUUACUGACGCUGAGGCUCGAAAGCGUGGGGAGCAAACAGG
Molecule: ribosomal RNA, 404 nt
Filed under: uncultured bacterium
Lineage: Bacteria
Description: bacterial SSU rRNA
Rfam family: Bacterial small subunit ribosomal RNA
Source: RNAcentral